AGCUACCAGUUCAGCUGAUGAAGUCACUGCUUGCACCUAUGCUGAUCUUUACGACAACAGAUACAUCAUCUCUGUUGGAUGGGGAAGGAAGAUCAGUAUUUUCCUAGAUAUUGAUGAUGAAGUCGUUGAAGGAUCAUACCCACAACUGGACUGGAUUAGAAGUAUGGAACAGGGCCACAAGGACGAUAUUUUAUGUGUAGCUUCGUGUCCUCCACAUUUCUUGGCCACUUCUAGUUUUGAUGGUGAAGUUCUCAUAUGGAAUCUGCUAUCGGGACAUCUCUGCAGCCGUCUUCAUGC
Long non-coding RNA from Podarcis raffonei (Aeolian wall lizard), 297 nucleotides. RefSeq lists it as uncharacterized. The record is from RefSeq and is a predicted model, not a curated record. NCBI's taxonomy places the organism in Eukaryota, Metazoa, Chordata, Lepidosauria, Squamata, Lacertidae. The transcript has 4 exons.